GCAGAGCAUCCUACGGGAGGCAGCAGUGGGGAAUAUUGCACAAUGGGCGCAAGCCUGAUGCAGCCAUGCCGCGUGUAUGAAGAAGGCCUUCGGGUUGUAAAGUACUUUCAGCAGUGAGGAAGGUGGGUAUGUUAAUAGCAUACUCAUUUGACGUUAGCUGCAGAAGAAGCACCGGCUAACUCCGUGCCAGCAGCCGCGGUAAUACGGAGGGUGCGAGCGUUAAUCGGAAUUACUGGGCGUAAAAGCGCAUGCAGGUGGUUUGUUAAGUCAGAUGUGAAAGCCCGGGGCUCAACCUCGGAAUUGCAUUUGAAACUGGCAAACUAGAGUACUGUAGAGGGGGGUAGAAUUUCAGGUGUAGCGGUGAAAAUGCGUAGAGAUCUGAAGGAAUACCGGUGGCGAAGGCGGCCCCCCUGGACAGAUACUGACACUCAGAUGCGAAAGCGUGGGGAGCAAAACAGGAUUUAGAUACCCCUGGUAG
This 478-nucleotide ribosomal RNA is filed under the name uncultured bacterium. Its description in RNAcentral is "bacterial SSU rRNA". It matches the Rfam family "Bacterial small subunit ribosomal RNA", at positions 329 to 793 of the family's 1533-position model. The record is from RNAcentral.